Molecule: ribosomal RNA, 466 nt
Filed under: uncultured bacterium
Lineage: Bacteria
Description: partial 16S ribosomal RNA
Rfam family: Bacterial small subunit ribosomal RNA
Source: RNAcentral
CUACGGGACGCACCAGUGGGGAAUAUUGGACAAUGGGGGAAACCCUGAUCCAGCAAUGCCGCGUGUGUGAAGAAGGCCUGCGGGUUGUAAAGCACUUUCGGUUGGGAGGACUGCUUCUAGCACUAAUAUUGUUGGAAGUUGACGUUACCUUCAGAAGAAGCACCGGCUAACUCCGUGCCAGCAGCCGCGGUAAUACGGAGGGUGCAAGCGUUGAAUCGGAAUUACUGGGCGUAAAGCGCGCGUUGGCGGCUAGAUCAGUCGGGUGUGAAAGCCCCGGGCUUAACCUGGGAACUGCAUCCGAUACUGUCUAGCUUGAGUAAAGGAGAGGAGAGUGGAAUUCCAGAUGUAGCGGUGAAAUGCGUAGAUAUGUGGAGGAACACCAAUGGCGAAGGCAGCUCUCUGGCCUGAUACUGACGCUGAGGUGCGAAAGCGUGGGGAGCAAACAGGAUUAGAUACCCUCGUAGUC